GUGUGCUAGGCGGGGAGGUAGCGGUGUCCUGUAACCCACAAUCCGCUAUAGUGGGGCUGAAUUCCUGCAUGAGAAUAUUGAUUUCUCAAGUUGGAUUGAUAAGUAGUGUUGAGGAUCAAGCCCAACGCAAUUGUGAACUGUGAACUGUGUCAGGUCCGGAAGGAAGCAGCACUAAAGAGUCCUCGCGAUGUGCCGUUGGCUCACUUGAUCUGAGCUGGCUGUUAAUUCCUACUUUAGAAUAGAUACCGAUUGCAGGUGCACAC
Molecule: signal recognition particle RNA, 263 nt
Filed under: Candidatus Cloacimonadota bacterium
Lineage: Bacteria; Pseudomonadati; Candidatus Cloacimonadota
Description: signal recognition particle sRNA large type
Rfam family: Bacterial large signal recognition particle RNA
About the family: The signal recognition particle (SRP) is a universally conserved ribonucleoprotein involved in the co-translational targeting of proteins to membranes. Archaeal SRP consists of a 7S RNA and homologues of the eukaryotic SRP19 and SRP54 proteins. In most bacteria, the SRP consists of a 4.5S RNA and the Ffh protein (a homologue of the eukaryotic SRP54 protein).
Source: RNAcentral